RNAcentral lists this non-coding RNA (456 nucleotides) under Calypte anna (Anna's hummingbird). RNAcentral's name for it is "Eukaryotic small subunit ribosomal RNA". It matches the Rfam family "Eukaryotic small subunit ribosomal RNA", at positions 1175 to 1652 of the family's 1831-position model. The record is from Rfam by way of RNAcentral. Lineage: Eukaryota; Metazoa; Chordata; Aves; Apodiformes; Trochilidae.
AAUCUUUUCUGUAUGAUAAUGAUUUAAUACAUAGGAUUCCUCACUUAGUCUAGAUUGAUGGGAUUGACAGACUGAGAGCUCUCUCUCUGUUCCAUGGGUGGUGGCAGCACAUGGCCAUUCUUAGUUGGUGGAAGCUAUUUGUCUGGUUAAUUCCAAUAACAAACAAGGCUCUGGCAUGCUAACCAGUUACGUGACCCCCGAGUGGACAGUGUCCAACUUCUUAGAGGGACAACUGGCAUUCAGCCACCCAAGAUUGAGCAAUAACAGGGCUGUGAUGCCCUUAAAUGUCUGGGGCCACAUGCUCUAGACCGAGUGGCUCAGUUUGUGCCAACCUCCACCAGCAGGCAGAGGUAACCCAUUGGAAAGCAUUUGUGAUGGGGAUCAGGGACUGGAAUUCUUCCUUGUAACAAGGAACUCCCAGUAAGUGGAUGUCACAAGCUCACACUGAAAAGUUCC